This 433-nucleotide ribosomal RNA is filed under the name uncultured bacterium. RNAcentral describes it as "partial 16S ribosomal RNA". It matches the Rfam family "Bacterial small subunit ribosomal RNA", at positions 29 to 507 of the family's 1533-position model. The record is from RNAcentral.
AACGAACGCUGGCGGCAUGCCUAACACAUGCAAGUCGAACGAGACCUUCGGGUCUAGUGGCGCACGGGUGCGUAACGCGUGGGAACCUGCCCUUAGGUUCGGAAUAACUCCCCGAAAGGGGUGCUAAUACCGGAUAAUGUCUUCGGACCAAAGAUUUAUCGCCUUUGGAUGGGCCCGCGUUGGAUUAGCUAGUUGGUAGGGUAAAAGCCUACCAAGGCGACGAUCCAUAGCUGGUCUGAGAGGAUGAUCAGCCACACUGGGACUGAGACACGGCACAGACUCCUGCGGGAAGCAGCAGUGGGGAAUAUUGGACAAUGGGCGAAAGCCUGAUCCAGCAAUGCCGCGUGAGUGAUGAAGGCCUUAGGGUUGUAAAGCUCUUUUACCCGGGAUGAUAAUGACAGUACCGGGAGAAUAAGCUCCGGCUAACUCCGUG